Molecule: ribosomal RNA, 245 nt
Filed under: uncultured bacterium
Lineage: Bacteria
Description: partial small subunit ribosomal RNA
Rfam family: Bacterial small subunit ribosomal RNA
Source: RNAcentral
AGAAUCAACGCUGGCGGCGUGCCUAACACAUGCAAGUCGAACGAGAAAGUGGAGCAAUCCAUGGGUAAAGUGGCGCACGGGUGAGUAACACGUGACUAACCUACCCUUGAGUGGGGGAUAACCUAGAGAAAUCUGGGCUAAUACCGCAUAAUACCUUCGGGUCAAAGGAGCAAUUCGCUUAAGGAGGGGGUCGCGGCCGAUUAGUUAGUUGGCGGGGUAAUGGCCCACCAAGACUAUGAUCGGUA